Molecule: ribosomal RNA, 484 nt
Filed under: uncultured bacterium
Lineage: Bacteria
Description: partial 16S ribosomal RNA
Rfam family: Bacterial small subunit ribosomal RNA
Source: RNAcentral
AUUGAACGCUGGCGGCAGGCCUAACACAUGCAAGUCGAGCGGAUGAAGGGAGCUUGCUCCUGGAUUCAGCGGCGGACGGGUGAGUAAUGCCUAGGAAUCUGCCUGGUAGUGGGGGAUAACGUCCGGAAACGGGCGCUAAUACCGCAUACGUCCUGAGGGAGAAAGUGGGGGAUCUUCGGACCUCACGCUAUCAGAUGAGCCUAGGUCGGAUUAGCUAGUUGGUGGGGUAAAGGCCUACCAAGGCGACGAUCCGUAACUGGUCUGAGAGGAUGAUCAGUCACACUGGAACUGAGACACGGUCCAGACUCCUACGGGAGGCAGCAGUGGGGAAUAUUGGACAAUGGGCGAAAGCCUGAUCCAGCCAUGCCGCGUGUGUGAAGAAGGUCUUCGGAUUGUAAAGCACUUUAGGUUGGGAGGAAAGGCAGUAAGUUAAUACCUUGCUGUUUUGACGUUACCAACAGAAUAAGCACCGGCUAACUUCGUG